UGGUGGGAGUACAGGACUCGCCUCCUCAGGGUUCCCUGUGCUGCCACUUUUCAGCCAUGGCCACAAGUGAACAGAGUAUCUGCCAAGCCCGGGCUUCCGUGAUGGUCUACGAUGACACCAGUAAGAAAUGGGUACCAAUCAAACCUGGCCAGCAGGGAUUCAGCCGGAUCAACAUCUACCACAACACUGCCAGCAACACCUUCAGAGUCGUUGGAGUCAAGCUGCAGGAUCAGCAGGUUGUGAUCAAUUAUUCAAUCGUGAAAGGGCUGAAGUACAAUCAGGCCACGCCAACCUUCCACCAGUGGCGAGAUGCCCGCCAGGUCUACGGCUUAAACUUUGCAAGUAAAGAAGAGGCGACCACGUUCUCCAAUGCAAUGCUGUUUGCCCUGAACAUCAUGAAUUCCCAAGAAGGAGGUAAGUAGGGCUUUGUCUUGGCCUGAUGCCGAGACCCUCUCUUGUUCUACCUCUGCCCUCCCACAGCUCUGGCUCUCCGGGUAUCCU
RNAcentral lists this small RNA (501 nucleotides) under Pan troglodytes (chimpanzee). RNAcentral's name for it is "retained intron". The record is from RNAcentral. Lineage: Eukaryota; Metazoa; Chordata; Mammalia; Primates; Hominidae.